RNAcentral lists this ribosomal RNA (440 nucleotides) under uncultured bacterium. RNAcentral's name for it is "bacterial SSU rRNA". It matches the Rfam family "Bacterial small subunit ribosomal RNA", at positions 338 to 770 of the family's 1533-position model. The record is from RNAcentral.
CCUACGGGAGGCAGCAGUGGGGAAUCUUGCGCAAUGCGCGAAAGCGUGACGCAGCAACGCCGCGUGGGGGAAGAAGGCCUUCGGGUUGUAAACCCCUUUCAGUUGGGACGAAGCUCCGUCGGUGAAUAGCCGGCUGGAGUGACGGUACCUUCAGAAGAAGCCCCGGCUAACUACGUGCCAGCAGCCGCGGUAAUACGUAGGGGGCAAGCGUUGUCCGGAAUCAUUGGGCGUAAAGAGCGUGUAGGCGGCUCGGUAAGUCCGCUCUGAAAGCCCGGGGCUCAACCCCGGGAGGCGGGCGGAUACUGUCGGGCUAGAGUCCGGAAGAGGCGAGUGGAAUUCCUGGUGUAGCGGUGAAAUGCGCAGAUAUCAGGAGGAACACCAAUGGCGAAGGCAGCUCGCUGGGACGGUACUGACGCUGAGACGCGAAAGCGUGGGGAGCA